RNAcentral lists this ribosomal RNA (471 nucleotides) under uncultured bacterium. RNAcentral's name for it is "bacterial SSU rRNA". It matches the Rfam family "Bacterial small subunit ribosomal RNA", at positions 355 to 825 of the family's 1533-position model. The record is from RNAcentral.
UCGGGAAUUUUGGGCAAUGGGCGAAAGCCUGACGCAGCGACGCCGCGUGAGUGAUGAAGGCCUUCGGGUUGUAAAGCUCUGUGGGGAGAGAAGAAUAAGUGCGGGCUAAUACUCCGCAUGAUGACGGUAUCUCCUUAGCAAGCACCGGCUAACUCUGUGCCAGCAGCCGCGGUAAGACAGAGGGUGCAAACGUUGUUCGGAAUUACUGGGCGUAAAGCGAGUGUAGGCGGUUUGGUAAGUCGGAUGUGAAAGCCCCGGGCUCAACCCGGGAAGUGCACUCGAUACUGCCAAGCUAGAGUAUCGGAGAGGUUGGUGGAAUUCUCGGUGUAGAGGUGAAAUUCGUAGAUAUCGAGAGGAACACCGGUGGCGAAGGCGGCCAACUGGACGAAUACUGACGCUGAGACUCGAAAGCGUGGGGAGCAAACAGGAUUAGAUACCCAUGUAGUCCCUGAGCGGGCUGGCAAGGCGCAU